UACGGAGGGGGCUAGCGUUGUUCGGAAUUACUGGGCGUAAAGCGCACGUAGGUGGUUCAGUAAGUCGAGUGUGAAACCUCCAGGCUCAACCUGGAGACGCCACCCGAUACUGCUGUGACUAGAGUCCAGUAGGGGAGCACGGAAUUCCUGGUGUAGCGGUGAAAUGCGCAGAUAUCAGGAGGAACACCAGUGGCGAAGGCGGUGCUCUGGGCUGGAACUGACACUGAGGAGCGAAAGCGUGGGUAGCAAACAGG
RNAcentral lists this ribosomal RNA (254 nucleotides) under uncultured bacterium. Its description in RNAcentral is "partial 16S ribosomal RNA". It matches the Rfam family "Bacterial small subunit ribosomal RNA", at positions 524 to 776 of the family's 1533-position model. The record is from RNAcentral.